CUGCUUCUUAGGCAUAUCUGAAGAUAAAAAUCUGAUAGAGGAGUUAAAACAGAGAGAGCGAGCUAAGGUAAGGUAAGGAGAAGAUGAUCGGAGAGAAAGAUGAAUGUUUAAAGCGAAGAGAGUUGUGUGUGGAAUUAACGACAUCAACACGUGGCUUAACAAGGUGCGAACCACGUAAUAACAACGAGAGAUGGCGGCGACCAAGUUAGUUCGACGUGCUUGCUGAGUCACCAACAAGCUGUGAAACCGGCGGGACGACGACGGAGUUAGUGGAAGUGUUAUGGUGCGAGAAAGACCACUGUAACAAACAAAAAAUCUACAACAAAAUUUACGAAAACACCCAGUGGCUUAGGAGGCCUAUAUCUAGGGGCUAGGGCUGUUAAUCUGGGCUAUUUUACCCAGCCCAAUUCCAGACUAUCAGAAACUUGUCCACCAAAAACUCAGCCCACACAAAAACCCAUUGGCAAACUUGGCUAUUCUCGACCAAAUUUA
This 492-nucleotide long non-coding RNA is filed under the name Arabidopsis lyrata. Its description in RNAcentral is "long non-coding RNA (ALYR_LNC001049)". Lineage: Eukaryota; Viridiplantae; Streptophyta; Magnoliopsida; Brassicales; Brassicaceae. The record is from RNAcentral.